CCUACGGGAGGCUGCAGUGAGGAAUAUUGGUCAAUGGCCGUAAGCCUGAACCAGCCAAGUCGCGUGAGGGAUGAAGGUUCUAUGGAUUGUAAACCUCUUUUAUCAGGGAAUAAAGUGCGGGACGUGUCCCGUUUUGUAAGUACCUUAUGAAUAAGGAUCGGCUAACUCCGUGCCAGCAGCCGCGGUAAUACGGAGGAUCCGAGCGUUAUCCGGAUUUAUUGGGUUUAAAGGGUGCGUAGGCGGCCUUUUAAGUCAGCGGUGAAAGUCUGUGGCUCAACCAUAGAAUUGCCGUUGAACCGGGGAGGCUUGAGGAUGUUUGAGGCAGGCGGAAUGCGUGGUGUAGCGGUGAAAUGCUUAGAUAUCACGCAGAACCCCGAUUGCGAAGGCAGCCUGCCAAGCCAUGACUGACGCUGAUGCACGAAAGCGUGGGGAUCAAACAGGAUUAGAUACCCCUGUAGUC
RNAcentral lists this ribosomal RNA (460 nucleotides) under uncultured bacterium. Its description in RNAcentral is "partial 16S ribosomal RNA". It matches the Rfam family "Bacterial small subunit ribosomal RNA", at positions 338 to 795 of the family's 1533-position model. The record is from RNAcentral.